CCUACGGGUGGCUGCAGUGGGGAAUAUUGCACAAUGGGCGCAAGCCUGAUGCAGCCAUGCCGCGUGUGUGAAGAAGGCCUUCGGGUUGUAAAGCACUUUCAGCGGGGAGGAAGGCGUUAAGGUUAAUAACCUUGUCGAUUGACGUUACCCGCAGAAGAAGCACCGGCUAACUCCGUGCCAGCAGCCGCGGUAAUACGGAGGGUGCAAGCGUUAAUCGGAAUUACUGGGCGUAAAGCGCACGCAGGCGGUCUGUCAAGUCGGAUGUGAAAUCCCCGGGCUCAACCUGGGAACUGCAUUCGAAACUGGCAGGCUAGAGUCUUGUAGAGGGGGGUAGAAUUCCAGGUGUAGCGGUGAAAUGCGUAGAGAUGUGGAGGAACACCAGUGGCGAAGGCGACUCUCUGGUCUGUAACUGACGCUGAGGAGCGAAAGCGUGGGGAGCGAACAGGAUUAGAUACCCUGGUAGUC
This 465-nucleotide ribosomal RNA is filed under the name uncultured Klebsiella sp. RNAcentral describes it as "bacterial SSU rRNA". It matches the Rfam family "Bacterial small subunit ribosomal RNA", at positions 338 to 795 of the family's 1533-position model. Lineage: Bacteria; Pseudomonadati; Pseudomonadota; Gammaproteobacteria; Enterobacterales; Enterobacteriaceae. The record is from RNAcentral.